RNAcentral lists this transfer RNA (82 nucleotides) under Schistocerca americana (American grasshopper). RNAcentral describes it as "tRNA-Ser". It matches the Rfam family "tRNA". From Rfam's summary of the family: Transfer RNA (tRNA) molecules are approximately 80 nucleotides in length. Their secondary structure includes four short double-helical elements and three loops (D, anti-codon, and T loops). Further hydrogen bonds mediate the characteristic L-shaped molecular structure. tRNAs have two regions of fundamental functional importance: the anti-codon, which is responsible for specific mRNA codon recognition, and the 3' end, to which the tRNAs corresponding amino acid is attached (by aminoacyl-tRNA synthetases). tRNAs cope with the degeneracy of the genetic code in two manners: having more than one tRNA (with a specific anti-codon) for a particular amino acid; and 'wobble' base-pairing, i.e. permitting non-standard base-pairing at the 3rd anti-codon position. The record is from RNAcentral. Lineage: Eukaryota; Metazoa; Arthropoda; Insecta; Orthoptera; Acrididae.
GACGAGGUGGCCGAGUGGUUAAGGCGUUGGACUACUAAUCCAACGUGCUCUGCACGCGUGGGUUCGAAUCCCAUCCUCGUCG